AGUCGAACGGUAACAGGAAACAGCUUGCUGCUUCGCUGACAGAGUGGCGGACGGGUGAGUAAUGUCUGGGAAACUGCCUGAUGGAGGGGGAUAACUACUGGAAACGGUAGCUAAUACCGCAUAACGUCGCAAGACCAAAGAGGGGGACCUUCGGGCCUCUUGCCAUCGGAUGUGCCCAGAUGGGAUUAGCUAGUAGGUGGGGUAACGGCUCACCUAGGCGACGAUCCCUAGC
Molecule: ribosomal RNA, 232 nt
Filed under: Escherichia coli
Lineage: Bacteria; Pseudomonadati; Pseudomonadota; Gammaproteobacteria; Enterobacterales; Enterobacteriaceae
Description: partial 16S ribosomal RNA
Rfam family: Bacterial small subunit ribosomal RNA
Source: RNAcentral